CACUGGGUGUGGGUGGAGCAGCUGGAUACAUGGACCUUGCUGGGUGUGUGAGUGCCUCCCAAAGAAGAGUUCCCAGCGCCACGGCUCCCAAGACCUCCACCAAGCUGGUAAUUGGACACAGGUCGCGGCAGGUGGCAAAAGUGGACGUGGCUGGCGAGUAGUGCGGACUUUGUGCCCCAUCAGGACGUCAUUGUCUCCAGUCGUGUGGUCCAGUGAGUCACCGCUCUACCGCACGACAGUGACCCCAAGGAAGUCCCAGUCCACAGCAGGGAUGUGGCCACCCCUGGCCACAGCCCCAAGUGUUCCCUGGUGGGCCAUACUCACUGAGCUCCUCCUCCUCCUCCUCCUCCUCACCCGGCUGCCGUGGAAGGAGUCACCACGGCUGUCAGCAGAACAACUUGGAGCGUCCGCCCUUCCUGCCGCCAGUGGUCGGAGACUCUCUCUUCACACGGUCUGCAUGUCAGCAAGGCACUACAUCGGACUCCACUACAACCUCCACAACCUCUACGGACUGUCAGAGACGAGUGCCACCAGUGCAUAAGUCUAUUAUGCUCAGAGUUUUAGGUGCAGGGAGGGAUAUGCUGACAGUAAGUUUGUGGUAUGCAUUCAAUAUGGGCACAGUACAUUAGUGAUGUGCUUGCAGUAAGUUUGUGGUGUGCAUUUAGUAUCGUUACAAUGUAUUAAUGAUAUACCCAAGUCAUUGGCAAGAGGAAAUACAGAUGAAGGAAGGCUGUUUUUCUUUCAGAGUUUACCAGCCAAAGGGAUGAAAGAAUGAAGAUGCUGGCUGGCUGACUCCUGCAUAAGGGAUUAGGGCAGCAUAGGGAUGAGCCAGUGUUUAAAAUGAUGGAUGGUAGGGGUUGAGGCAUGCAGCUACCAAGUUCAGGAGUGCCCGCCAGUCCUCUUUCUUAUAACAUAUCAAUACUUUCAUUUAGUAUCUAUCAAUAUGGCCAUUACUUGUUGCCAGACCCCUGCAGGGUGUGGGAGCCAGGCGGCCAUUCAUCACUUCCCGCUCGUCCAUCCCAGGCCAGGGCCACUACUGGGGCCACUGGACGGGCCACGUGUGCUCCCACUGCUUCAACAUGUGGCACUCCACCGCAGAUCCCUCCAGUAGGCUGAGAAGAAGCUCCAGAGCCUGGCCCCGGAGAUGGAGGGGCAGCGGCGGGCCAGGAAGCCCUCCGGCUCUGAGACGUGUGGCGCCACAACCAACAACUCCGCGUGCAGGGCGGGCUUAGAGAAAGGCUUUACACAGACCCUGGGUAAUGCUCCUGGUCUUGUUCCU
Molecule: long non-coding RNA, 1279 nt
Organism: Eriocheir sinensis (Chinese mitten crab)
Lineage: Eukaryota; Metazoa; Arthropoda; Malacostraca; Decapoda; Varunidae
Exons: 5
Source: RefSeq, a predicted model, not a curated record